RNAcentral lists this ribosomal RNA (406 nucleotides) under uncultured bacterium. RNAcentral describes it as "bacterial SSU rRNA". It matches the Rfam family "Bacterial small subunit ribosomal RNA", at positions 30 to 430 of the family's 1533-position model. The record is from RNAcentral.
AUUGAACGCUGGCGGCAUGCUUUACACAUGCAAGUCGAACGGCAGCACGGGCUUCGGCCUGGUGGCGAGUGGCGAACGGGUGAGUAAUGCAUCGGAACGUGCCCCAUUUGUGGGGGAUAACUACGCGAAAGCGUGGCUAAUACCGCAUACGCCCUGAGGGGGAAAGGCGGGGAGUUCUUCGGAACCUCGCGCAAUUGGAGCGGCCGAUGUCAGAUUAGCUUGUUGGUGAGGUAAAGGGACUCACCAAGGCGACGGAUCUGUAGCGGGUCUGAGAGGAUGAUCGCCACACUGGGACUGAGACACGGCCCAGACUCCUACGGGAGGCAGCAGUGGGGAAUUUUGGUACAAUGGGGGCGAACCCUGAUCCAGCCAUGCCGCGUGAGUGAAGAAGGCCUCGGUUGUAAGA